GAUGAACGCUGGCGGCGUGCCUAACACAUGCAAGUCGAGCGAACAGACGAGGAGCUUGCUCCUCUGACGUUAGCGGCGGACGGGCGAGUAACACGUGGAUAACCUACCUAUAAUACUGGGAUAAUAUCGGGAAACCGGAGCUAAUACCGGAUAAUAUAUUGAACCGCAUGGUUCAAUAGUGAAACACGGCUUUGGUGUCACUUAUAGCUGGAUUCGGGCCGCAUUAGCUAGUUGGUAAGGUAACGGCUUACCAAGGCGACGAUGCGUAGCCGACCUGAGAGGGUGAUCGGCCACACUGGAACUGAGACACGGUCCAGACUCCUACGGGAGGCAGCAGUAGGGAAUCUUGCGCAAUGGGCGAAAGCUUGACGGAGCAACGCCGCGUGAGUGAUGAAGGUCUUCGGAUCGUAAAGCUCUGUUAUUAGGAAAGAACAAAUGUGUAUGUAACUAUGCCCGUCUUGACGGUACCUAAUCAGAAAGCCACGGCUAACUUCGUG
RNAcentral lists this ribosomal RNA (497 nucleotides) under uncultured bacterium. RNAcentral describes it as "partial 16S ribosomal RNA". It matches the Rfam family "Bacterial small subunit ribosomal RNA", at positions 28 to 507 of the family's 1533-position model. The record is from RNAcentral.